UCCGGUUCAUCACCAGCAGUCUCCUUAGAGUCCCCGCCAUUACGCGCUGGUAACUAAGGAUAAGGGUUGCGCUCGUUACGGGACUUAACCCAACAUCUCACAACACGAGCUGACGACAGCCAUGCAGCACCUGUCUCUAAGUUCCUUUCGGCACUCCCGCAUCUCUGCAGGAUUCUUAGGAUGUCAAGGGUAGGUAAGGUUCUUCGCGUUGCAUCGAAUUAAACCACAUGCUCCACCGCUUGUGCGGGCCCCCGUCAAUUUCUUUGAGUUUUAAUCUUGCGACCGUACUCCCCAGGCGGAAAACUUAUCGCGUUAGCUUCGAUACUGAUAGGUCUAAGCCUACCAACAUCUAGUUUUCAUCGUUUACGGCGUGGACUAC
RNAcentral lists this unclassified non-coding RNA (379 nucleotides) under uncultured Gammaproteobacteria bacterium. Its description in RNAcentral is "contains 16S-23S intergenic spacer region". Lineage: Bacteria; Pseudomonadati; Pseudomonadota; Gammaproteobacteria. The record is from RNAcentral.